UACGUAGGGUGCGAGCGUUGUCCGGAAUUACUGGGCGUAAAGCGUGCGCAGGCGGUUUUGUAAGUCAGAUGUGAAAUCCCCGGGCUUAACCUGGGAACUGCGUUUGAAACUACAAGGCUAGAGUGUGGCAGAGGGGGGGUGGAAUUCCACGUGUAGCAGUGAAAUGCGUAGAGAUGUGGAGGAACACCGAUGGCGAAGGCAGCCCCCUGGGUUAACACUGACGCUCAGGCACGAAAGCGUGGGGAGCAAACAGGG
Molecule: ribosomal RNA, 255 nt
Filed under: uncultured bacterium
Lineage: Bacteria
Description: partial 16S ribosomal RNA
Rfam family: Bacterial small subunit ribosomal RNA
Source: RNAcentral